Molecule: ribosomal RNA, 435 nt
Filed under: Haptophyta environmental samples
Lineage: Eukaryota; Haptophyta
Description: SSU rRNA
Rfam family: Eukaryotic small subunit ribosomal RNA
Source: RNAcentral
CGAAUCCUGACACAGGGAGGUAGUGACAAGAAAUAACAAUACAGGGCUCUCCGAGUCUUGUAAUUGGAAUGAGUACAAUUUACAUCUCUUCACGAGGAUCAAUUGGAGGGCAAGUCUGGUGCCAGCAGCCGCGGUAAUUCCAGCUCCAAUAGCGUAUAUUAAAGUUGUUGCAGUUAAAACGCUCGUAGUCGGAUUUCGGGGCGGGGCCGCCGGUCUGCCGAUAGGUAUGCACUGGCGGGCGCGUCCUUUUUCCCGGAGACGGCUGCUACUCUUAACUGAGCGGUGGUCGGAGACGGGAUGUUUACUUUGAAAAAAUCAGAGUGUUUCAAGCAGGCAGUCGCUCUUGCAUGGAUUAGCAUGGGAUAAUGAAAUAGGACUCUGGUGCUAUUUUGUUGGUUUCGAGCACCGGAGUAAUGAUUAACAGGGACAGUCAGG